UAGCCAGCACGCCGCAAUAGGAAAAAUUUGUAGGAGAGGGUCACUUUAGUGAGGAUAAGCUCCAGUCUUGUCCCCCUUCAAACUGUCUGUUGUGGCAACCCUUUCCGCCUAGUGUUUUCGGGGAAGAGGACAAGGGAUAGUAUCAGAGAGGACGGACUGCCACCAUAGAGAGGGGAACCAAGCAAGAACACACAAUUUUACUCCCCUCCAUCCUAGAGUGAUAAAAAUAAGCACG
This 235-nucleotide long non-coding RNA is filed under the name Hordeum vulgare. RNAcentral's name for it is "long non-coding RNA (HVUL_LNC009581)". Lineage: Eukaryota; Viridiplantae; Streptophyta; Magnoliopsida; Poales; Poaceae. The record is from RNAcentral.